This 71-nucleotide transfer RNA is filed under the name Camelus bactrianus (Bactrian camel). It matches the Rfam family "tRNA". From Rfam's summary of the family: Transfer RNA (tRNA) molecules are approximately 80 nucleotides in length. Lineage: Eukaryota; Metazoa; Chordata; Mammalia; Artiodactyla; Camelidae. The record is from Rfam by way of RNAcentral. RNAcentral also lists the same sequence under 2 other names.
GAGUGUAUAGCCCAGUGGUAGAGUGUGUGCUUAGUAUGCACAAGGUCCUGGGUCCAAUCCCACUACCCCCA